Molecule: transfer RNA, 77 nt
Filed under: Candidatus Yanofskybacteria bacterium RIFCSPHIGHO2_01_FULL_44_24
Lineage: Bacteria; Candidatus Yanofskyibacteriota
Also listed under: 2 other names
Description: tRNA-Arg
Rfam family: tRNA
About the family: Transfer RNA (tRNA) molecules are approximately 80 nucleotides in length. Their secondary structure includes four short double-helical elements and three loops (D, anti-codon, and T loops).
Source: RNAcentral
GUCCCCGUAGCUCAGCUGGAUAGAGCGUCAGAUUGCGGAUCUGAAGGCCGGGUGUUCGAAUCACCCCGGGGACACCA